AAAUUCGAAACCCUAGAAAGAAAUUCUUGGCCAAAGUAAGUGUUGUUGGAGAAGAAAGAAACAAAUCAGUUUCGUUCUUGAUUUUUCCAUUCUACACCUUCUCUCUCUCUCUCAUCCGUUUACCGCUGCUUUCGAUCUUCUUGUUUACCGUUUAGCACUAAUAUGCGCUUCCGUACUAAAGCAUUUCACCUUCAUGAAAGCUGGAAGAAUCGUGUUUUUCACGUUAGGAUUUUACUGAAGCCUGUUGAUGUGAUCCGCCAGCUGUUGUAUGUUUACACACUGGAUCUCCAGCGUUCUCAGUGAAUAUUAGAACGGCACUGACUUCAUAUGAUUCUUUACUGCUCUAUGUUUACGCAACACUCUCUUUAGCUUUAGCGUUUUUUAAAGCCAAAAGGAUGCCAGAGGCAUGUUGAGAAUUGCAGAAGCCGCAGCCCACAGUUUGGAGUACUACCACCUCCGUGAAAAUGUUAUUCUCCAUUUGCCACUACUUCCUUAUGAUAAUUGGUUCUGUAAGAUUGCUGAUACUGUUUUUCAUUGUGUUAUCACUUAAAUGUUUUAGAACGUUGCAUGAACAUAAAUCUGGGUAUUCUGCUAAGAUAACUUGCAACUCUGGUUAAAUUCCUUAAACUCUAGCUGUUUACACUUUAAAUAAGAAAAAUGAGUAAGAAAGAAUCACUGGUGAAAGAAUAUAUAAUAUAUAACUACUGAAAUUAAAAUAAUGCCAUCCGCCAGUGGCUAUAGCCUGGCACUUGCGGAGAUGUGUAUGAAAGAGAAGAGAGUUGAAGAGAAACACUAAAACAACAUAGUAGUUUAUUGAAUCAUUGAAAUAAAUCAGAGCGUAUUGAAUGAUUACCCAAUAUCACUUUUAUAAUCAUUUAAACCUAACUACUUUAAUAAAUAUAGGAAACAAUAAAUUAAAUACUGAUAAUAAAUAAAUAUUAAUAAUUAGUUGAUAAUUAUCUUUAACAACUUCAUAUGUAUUUGGCCAACGGCCAGUUAAAACUAAAAUACCUUCGUAGUAUGUCUUUAUUUGAUUGAUUUUAGGGUACAUGAUGUUAUUACUAAUAGAUUGAUUGCACAAGGGACAUGUAUUAAGUGGUGGAUUAAACUAGAGAUAGGAGCCUCAAAUCUCUCUUCCAUAUCUUUGGAUAUGGUUCUUUUUCAUUGUUUAUGCCAGUAACCAAAUUGGUUUGAAAUUGUUAUAUUUCUGGAACAUAGAAAUGAUAGAAAAAGGCAAGAAUUCUAGGAUUAAAGAAGGUAUCUGAACAUAGAAGUUUUUCUGAGAUGUGCAAAAAUGCUCAUAGGCAUUUUGAUUACAUUGCCAAUAUGUGUGACUGGAAGUUAGAAAAAAACAAGUGAGAAAUUUAACUUCUAAGAAGCAUGCAUGAGUGGCUAAACCUGAUAGUUUGGUCAUCUCGAUUUCACAGUUUAUCUUGUUAAUGCUAGAAUUUGAUAGUUGAAUGAUUACGUGUAGAUCAAACCUUACAACCAGAAUUUACCUGUAGACAUCAAGUAUUUGGAUAUAAGAAGCUACUAGAAGAAUCUUGGUUUUCUAGUAACCUUUUCACUUUUAUUUUUCUUUACCUUAUAUAAUGUUUUAACUGGACAAUGGAUAGCCAUGUUCAUAUAGAUAUUUAUAUAUGUAUAUCAGAUUAAACAAGUUGUUCUCUUUGAGGGAAAUUACCUAGGUUGAUGUUUAUACUGGUUAUUUUUAUCUGUGGUUCUAAUGGUGUCACUAGAACGUUGACAUUUCUUUAUUAUUUGAAAAUUUAUUGCUCAUAUAAAUUGAAGUAUCACCAAUUUCGAUUUUGAAAACAACAAUUGCCAAUCAUUUUGUAG
Molecule: long non-coding RNA, 1839 nt
Organism: Impatiens glandulifera
Lineage: Eukaryota; Viridiplantae; Streptophyta; Magnoliopsida; Ericales; Balsaminaceae
Exons: 4
Source: RefSeq, a predicted model, not a curated record